UCCGUAGGUGGAUAAUUAAGUCAGAGGUGAAAUCCUGCAGCUCAACUGUAGAAUUGCCUUUGAUACUGGUUAUCUUGAGUCAUUAUGAAGCGGUUAGAAUGUGUAGUGUAGCGGUGAAAUGCAUAGAUAUUACACAGAAUACCGAUUGCGAAGGCAGAUCACUAAUAAUGUACUGACACUGAGGGACGAAAGCGUGGGGAGCGAACAGGAUUAGAUACCCUGGUAGUCC
Molecule: ribosomal RNA, 229 nt
Filed under: uncultured bacterium
Lineage: Bacteria
Description: partial 16S ribosomal RNA
Rfam family: Bacterial small subunit ribosomal RNA
Source: RNAcentral